UGGGGAAUAUUGCACAAUGGGCGAAAGCCUGAUGCAGCGACGCCGCGUGCGGGAUGAAGGCCUUCGGGUUGUAAACCGCUUUUAAUUGGGAGCAAGCGAGAGUGAGUGUACCUUUUGAAUAAGCACCGGCUAACUACGUGCCAGCAGCCGCGGUAAUACGUAGGGUGCAAGCGUUAUCCGGAAUUAUUGGGCGUAAAGAGCUCGUAGGCGGUUUGUCACGCCUGGUGUGAAAGUCCAUCGCUUAACGGUGGAUCUGCGCCGGGUACGGGCAGGCUAGAGUGCAGUAGGGGAGAUUGGAAUUCCCGGUGUAACGGUGGAAUGUGUAGAUAUCGGGAAGAACACCAAUGGCGAAGGCAGAUCUCUGGGCUGUUACUGACGCUGAGGAGCGAAAGCAUGGGGAGCGAACAGGAUUAGAUACCCUGGUAGUCCAUGCCGUAAACGGUGGAUGCUGGAUGUGGGGCCCUUCCACGGGCUCCGUG
Molecule: ribosomal RNA, 479 nt
Filed under: uncultured bacterium
Lineage: Bacteria
Description: partial 16S ribosomal RNA
Rfam family: Bacterial small subunit ribosomal RNA
Source: RNAcentral